RNAcentral lists this ribosomal RNA (682 nucleotides) under uncultured bacterium. RNAcentral describes it as "bacterial SSU rRNA". It matches the Rfam family "Bacterial small subunit ribosomal RNA", at positions 202 to 864 of the family's 1533-position model. The record is from RNAcentral.
AAAGGUGGCCUCUUAACAAUGCUAUCACUUAUGGAUGGGCCCGCGUCUGAUUAGCUAGUUGGUAGAGUAACAGCCUACCAAGGCAACGAUCAGUAGCCGGCCUGAGAGGGUGGACGGCCACACUGGGACUGAGACACGGCCCAGACUCCUACGGGAGGCAGCAGUGGGGAAUAUUGCGCAAUGGGGGAAACCCUGACGCAGCGACGCCGCGUGAGCGAAGAAGGCCUUAGGGUUGUAAAGCUUUGUUUUAAGGGACGAAAGUAUGUGAGCGUAACUACUCAUGUAUUGACGGUACCUUAAGAGUAAGCCCCGGCUAACUACGUGCCAGCAGCCGCGGUAAGACGUAGGGGGCGAGCGUUGUCCGGAAUUACUGGGCGUAAAGGGCAUGCAGGCGGAAAUCUAAGUCAGGUGUGAAAGACCGGGGCUUAACCCCGGGGUUGCACUUGAAACUAGAUUUCUUGAGGGCAGGAGAGGAAAGCGGAAUUCCUGGUGUAGCGGUGAAAUGCGUAGAAAUCAGGAGGAACACCAGUGGCGAAGGCGGCUUUCUGGACUGACCCUGACGCUGAGAUGCGAAAGCGUGGGUAGCAAACAGGAUUAGAUACCCUGGUAGUCCACGCUGUAAACUAUGGAUACUAGGUGUGGGAGGUAUCGACCCCUUCUGUGCCGCAGCAAACGCAAUAAG